This 170-nucleotide unclassified non-coding RNA is filed under the name uncultured fungus. RNAcentral describes it as "sequence contains ITS1, 5.8S rRNA gene". The record is from RNAcentral. Lineage: Eukaryota; Fungi.
UUGACUUAUUUAAUAAUGCUCAGAUACCACAAAAAUGCAGAGUUAAAAACCUCCGGCAGGCACCAAAAAGCCCGCCCUGGGCCCUCCUGCCGAAGCAACUUAAGUAAAUACACAAAGGGUUGGAGUUUUUACGCUCUAUAAUGAUCCCUCCGCUGGUUCACCAACGGAGA